This 522-nucleotide ribosomal RNA is filed under the name uncultured Glomeraceae. RNAcentral's name for it is "SSU rRNA". It matches the Rfam family "Eukaryotic small subunit ribosomal RNA", at positions 569 to 1092 of the family's 1831-position model. The record is from RNAcentral. Lineage: Eukaryota; Fungi; Glomeromycota; Glomeromycetes; Glomerales; Glomeraceae.
AGCAGCCGCGGUAAUUCCAGCUCCAAUAGCGUAUAUUAAAGUUGUUGCAGUUAAAAAGCUCGUAGUUGAAUUUCGGGAUCAGUUGAUCGGUCGUGCCUCGGUACGUACUGGUCAAAUUGAUUUCCUACCUUCUGACGAACCACGAUGUCAUUAAUUUGGUGUCGUGGGAAAUCAGGACUGUUACUUUGAAAAAAUUAGAGUGUUUAAAGCAGGCUCGCGCUUGAAUACAUUAGCAUGGAAUAAUGAAAUAGGACGUUUGAUUCUAUUUUGUUGGUUUCUAGGAUCGACGUAAUGAUUAAUAGGGAUAGUUGGGGGCAUUAGUAUUCAAUUGUCAGAGGUGAAAUUCUUGGAUUUAUUGAAGACUAACUACUGCGAAAGCAUUUGCCAAGGAUGUUUUCAUUAAUCAAGAACGAAAGUUAGGGGAUCGAAGACGAUCAGAUACCGUCGUAGUCUUAACCAUAAACUAUGCCGACUAGGGAUCGGAUGAUGUUAAUUUUUUAAUGACUCAUUCGGCGCCUUACG